UGCUCUGUGCAGGCCCGAGAACACGUGCGCUCAGAAUGGAGGUUCACAGAAAAGGGAGGGAACCUCAACUGCAUCCCACAAACCAUCCAGCUUCUCCAAGCCUGCUUUCCUCAAAUAUAAGGCGUGCUAAAAAUCUCUUACUGCAAAGGCUUGCAGACCAGAUGAAUAAUAAAUGUGAAGCCCAGCAGGAGCAAGAGGAGGUGAUCAAUAUCAAUAGAGACCAGCUGGGUGAAGUCAACAGAACCGUGCCUGUCACUGGUAGACACACCAUAAGCAACAGCUCUUCUGCCCUCCCCACACACCAGGGAGGCCACGUCCAGGGCCAUGGGCCAGCAACCCCCUCCAGCCCUCUUAGCCAGGCUUGGGCUUCCCUUAUCACCAGCUGCAGGCCUCCACCGCCCACCUCUGCCGGCAACAUACGGUUUAUCCCGAAACCCAGCAUUCAAUGCAGAUGGAUGAGAUGCAUUGAGGCUUUACGGUAGGGGUGUGCCACCAUGCUGGUCACCGACCACGCUGCCCCUCCCCGCAGUCAGCCACGAAGCGGAAAGAGAUGAAGCAUACCCACACUGGUCCAGAGUCUGGGCAGACAAAAAGUGGCCCUGCUCUUGGGAGCCCACCCACCCGGUCAAUGGAAGGCACCAAGGAGCUGGAGGGUUCACCACACCUCCCCUCCUGUUGCUGCUCUUCCUGAUCUGCCUGG
This is a long non-coding RNA of Sapajus apella (tufted capuchin), 700 nucleotides long. RefSeq lists it as uncharacterized. Lineage: Eukaryota; Metazoa; Chordata; Mammalia; Primates; Cebidae. The record is from RefSeq and is a predicted model, not a curated record. The transcript is spliced from 3 exons.